GCCUGGGUGACUCAGUUAGUUGAGCAUCUGACUUCGGCUCAGGUUGUGAUCUCAUGGUUCGUGAGUUCGAGUCCCACAUCAGGCU
RNAcentral lists this transfer RNA (85 nucleotides) under Felis catus (domestic cat). It matches the Rfam family "tRNA". From Rfam's summary of the family: Transfer RNA (tRNA) molecules are approximately 80 nucleotides in length. Their secondary structure includes four short double-helical elements and three loops (D, anti-codon, and T loops). Further hydrogen bonds mediate the characteristic L-shaped molecular structure. tRNAs have two regions of fundamental functional importance: the anti-codon, which is responsible for specific mRNA codon recognition, and the 3' end, to which the tRNAs corresponding amino acid is attached (by aminoacyl-tRNA synthetases). tRNAs cope with the degeneracy of the genetic code in two manners: having more than one tRNA (with a specific anti-codon) for a particular amino acid; and 'wobble' base-pairing, i.e. permitting non-standard base-pairing at the 3rd anti-codon position. Lineage: Eukaryota; Metazoa; Chordata; Mammalia; Carnivora; Felidae. The record is from Rfam by way of RNAcentral.